Molecule: long non-coding RNA, 2149 nt
Organism: Musca domestica (house fly)
Lineage: Eukaryota; Metazoa; Arthropoda; Insecta; Diptera; Muscidae
Exons: 2
Source: RefSeq, a predicted model, not a curated record
CAACACAAGCGAUUUUUUACCCGUUGUUGUGGUUGUUGCUUGGUCUUAUAUAAAAAAUGGUUUGCGAUUUAAUAAUAUGAGGUUGUUUAAGUUCUUUCUAAUUAAGAUUGAGUGGCAUUUGUAAAAUGUCAAAGUAGUUUUCAAGAUAAUUGUUUUGUUUUCGAAAUAUUAUAUGUGUUGUGGUCGGUCGGUCGGCCGGUCGAUUGGUUGGUCGUGUAUGAUUUCCAGGUCAGUAUGGAUCUCAGCGAAUGACCAGCGAAUGAAAAUUCAACAGUCAACAUCAUCUUGAGAAUCAUCAACUCAAUAUUAUCAUCAGCGGCAACGGCUUCAAUGCUACUUAUUGAACGGAAUCAGUCAACGGAGUGACAGCUGUGUGCUUUUUUAUUAUUUUGAAACACAUUCCACUUCGUUGGAACAGAUGCUUAAGAAGCUGAUGUUUAUCUUGAAAAUGGACCAAUUUCAAGGUUAACAAAUAUAUAUGACAAUGAAAAAAUGAGGGCAUAUAGAAUUCGACUAAAUAUCACACUGACGUUUGAUCCGUCAGCCAGUUUGACUGAUGAUUAUACAUACCACUUCUGACGAUGCAAUGUUCUCGCCACAGUCUUGUAAAAUAUUACCCUGUUGUUUUUGUUUACAUGAAAUUCAGGCCGACAUACAUACAAAUAUUUACACGAGCAUAUGUGCAUGCAUACAUAUAUACAUUGUUUUUAUUUAGUUACAGUUCAAGGUUAAAACCGUUCGUUGUAAAUUUUAUUAAUUUGUUUAUAAUUAUAUAUCGGCCUUAAGAGAAAAGGUGGGCGAAAGAAUUUAUUUUAAGUCUUGUGGGAUUGAAAAUAUUUUCAAAUGUAGUGUGCCUUCUGCAGAAGAGCAAUUUCUUUUAUAUAUUUGAUGAAUUUUUAUAAGUAUGGAUACAUAGGUUUACAAUUAUUUAAGCUGUUAUGCGAAACAAUUUUAUUUAAGAAAUAAAAACCCAUUCAUUUACGCUUUCAUUUUGAGCCAUUUUUCGUGUAUCUAUUGACAUUAUUUUUUUAACAAACUACAUUAUUGAUAACCUAAUAUUUAAUACCUGUCCAUUGAUUUUUGUUUUCAAUUGAUAUCCUACUACUUUAGAGACAAUUCUAUAUGUACACCCAAUAGAUAUUCAGAUCGGUACGAGGCGGCCAUAAGGCUCAGAGCGACGGACGAGUGAAUAAGAAAAGACCACGUUACACACCAUCAAACAUUUUAACAGGUGACAUCGGAAGAAUCAAUGGAAAACUUUGUAUCGGACCGGAUACCUUAAACAAUUGUAGCUGCCUCAUGUUAAACAUUAAUUCCUACAAGAAACUAGUGGAUCAACGGAUUCCCAUCGCAAAUGCCGACAGGAAACUGUUGUUAUACAGACGACUCAUUGCUAGAGGGAGAGCGGGACUGAUACUUUUUAUUGAAGAGCCAAACACCGUAAUAUCUUUCCGCUUGACCGAUCAUAAUACGAUCAUUCACACGGAGGUCCGGGCGAUUGCAGAGUGUCUGAACUGGCUUAGUGCUAAUAAGAGACCGGCUACCGUAAACGUAAGAUCGCUAUAAAAGCUAUAACAUCCAAAACAGAAAACACGCACACAAAUAUGGCGUUCUCGUUUACUACCUUUUAUACCCUACACUUUAUUGUGGCCUGAAUAAGGAAAUAUACCCAUAGUUCCUACAUUUGAUCUUCAUAGAAUCACAUUCUAUGUAGAUUUAUGCAUAUCCCAUGGUACAAAUACUUCAAAUGUGAUAGAAAUUGGAUCAGACACAACUUUAGUUCUGUGGUGGGCGCCUUUAAAAGGGGUAACCCUGAAAAUAAUUGAUAGCUAGAAGAAGAAGAAGAACAAUUACUAAAAAACAGCUGAUUAUUCCAAUUACUUAAAUGUCAAUAUUAGGGAAUAAUGUAAAAAGAAAAUGGAAAAAUUAAGCGAGGAAAAUGGCAGCCAGAAUUUCCUGGCAAAAAUUGUAAGAAAAAUCUGCCCUUUUUGAUUUACCUGCGAAGAAGAUUGGAUGUGUGGCUCCCUGUAACCAGCGAAGAAAAAAAGCCGACAAAGUUUUUGGUGAUGAACCACUUGCUGAGAAGUGAAUUCAAUGUUUUUAUUUAUUUGAAACACAUAUACAAACAACACGAAAUACAAACUUUUUU